RNAcentral lists this ribosomal RNA (455 nucleotides) under uncultured bacterium. RNAcentral describes it as "bacterial SSU rRNA". It matches the Rfam family "Bacterial small subunit ribosomal RNA", at positions 28 to 479 of the family's 1533-position model. The record is from RNAcentral.
GACGAACGCUGGCGGCGUGCUUAACACAUGCAAGUCGAACGAUGAAGAACACUACUUGUAGUGUUUGGAUUAGUGGCGAACGGGUGAGUAACACGUGAGUAACCUGCCCUCCACUUUGGGAUAACCAUUGGAAACGGUGGCUAAUACUGGAUAUGACAACUACUCGCAUGGGUGGUUGUGGAAAGCUUUAGUGGUGGGGGAUGGACUCGCGGCCUAUCAGCUUGUUGGUGGGGUAAUGGCCUACCAAGGCGACGACGGGUAGCCGGCCUGAGAGGGCGACCGGCCACACUGGGACUGAGACACGGCCCAGACUCCUACGGGAGGCAGCAGUGGGGAAUAUUGCACAAUGGGCGAAAGCCUGAUGCAGCGACGCCGCGUGGGGGAUGAAGGCCUUCGGGUUGUAAACCCCUUUCAGUAAGGAACAAGGCCAUAUCUUUUGUGUGGUUGAGGGUACU